RNAcentral lists this ribosomal RNA (497 nucleotides) under uncultured bacterium. Its description in RNAcentral is "partial 16S ribosomal RNA". It matches the Rfam family "Bacterial small subunit ribosomal RNA", at positions 28 to 507 of the family's 1533-position model. The record is from RNAcentral.
GAUGAACGCUGGCGGCGUGCCUAAUACAUGCAAGUCGAGCGAACGGACGAGAAGCUUGCUUCUCUGAUGUUAGCGGCUGACGGGUGAGUAACACGUGGAUAACCUACCUAUAAGACUGGGAUAACUUCGGGAAACCGGAGCUAAUACCGGCUAAUAUUUUGAACCGCAUGGUUCAAAAGUGAAAGAGGGUCUUGCUGUCACUUAUAGAUGGAUCCGCGCUGCAUUAGCUAGUUGGUAAGGUAACGGCCUACCAAGGCAACGAUGCAUAGCCGACCUGAGAGGGUGAUCGGCCACACUGGAACUGAGACACGGUCCAGACUCCUACGGGAGGCAGCAGUAGGGAAUCUUCCGCAAUGGGCGAAAGCCUGACGGAGCAACGCCGCGUGAGUGAUGAAGGUCUUCGGAUCGUAAAACUCUGUUAUUAGGGAAGAACAUAUGUGUAAGUAACUGUGCACAUCUUGACGGUACCUAAUCAGAAAGCAACGGCUAACUACGUG